Molecule: transfer RNA, 87 nt
Filed under: Gemmatimonadaceae bacterium
Lineage: Bacteria; Pseudomonadati; Gemmatimonadota; Gemmatimonadia; Gemmatimonadales; Gemmatimonadaceae
Also listed under: 1 other name
Description: tRNA-Ser
Rfam family: tRNA
About the family: Transfer RNA (tRNA) molecules are approximately 80 nucleotides in length. Their secondary structure includes four short double-helical elements and three loops (D, anti-codon, and T loops). Further hydrogen bonds mediate the characteristic L-shaped molecular structure. tRNAs have two regions of fundamental functional importance: the anti-codon, which is responsible for specific mRNA codon recognition, and the 3' end, to which the tRNAs corresponding amino acid is attached (by aminoacyl-tRNA synthetases). tRNAs cope with the degeneracy of the genetic code in two manners: having more than one tRNA (with a specific anti-codon) for a particular amino acid; and 'wobble' base-pairing, i.e. permitting non-standard base-pairing at the 3rd anti-codon position.
Source: RNAcentral
GGACAGGUGGCCGAGCGGUUGAAGGCGCACGCCUGGAAAGCGUGUAAUGGUGAAAGCCAUUCGCGGGUUCGAAUCCCGCCCUGUCCG